AUUCUUGCCCUGCUCUCCCGGCCUGGCACCCUCCCACUGAGGACGGGAGAUGGCUCUGGGGAAAUUCCAUUCCAUAAUUCAUUUAAGCAGGAUAAACAGAGCUCCUGCUCUGGAAGAUCCAGCCCUGAGCAAAAGGCACUUGGAAUCGACAUGGGGGGCUCGAAUGUCCCUGUGAAACAUAAACAUAAGGAGGCAGGAGACAUGAGAUGCAGCCGGCUCUGACCCCAAAGAGCCAUGGGACCUGAGCAUC
RNAcentral lists this long non-coding RNA (250 nucleotides) under Homo sapiens (human). RNAcentral describes it as "non-protein coding lnc-FOXD1-3:6". Lineage: Eukaryota; Metazoa; Chordata; Mammalia; Primates; Hominidae. The record is from RNAcentral.